Molecule: ribosomal RNA, 3545 nt
Filed under: Stagonosporopsis vannaccii
Lineage: Eukaryota; Fungi; Ascomycota; Dothideomycetes; Pleosporales; Didymellaceae
Description: large subunit ribosomal RNA
Rfam family: Bacterial large subunit ribosomal RNA
Source: RNAcentral
UCUUACUAGCUUUGUAUUAUCUAUUUUAUAGUACAAAAAGUAACUUUAUGGCAAGUAUAUAAAGAGACUAUUAUGGAAAAAAAGCUGUAUAUUAAACCACUAGUACCGUAAAAAGAAUGGAGUAAUAUCCAUUCUUAGGGAAAAUGGUAGAAAAAUUUCUAUAAAAAGAAACGAAGUGAAUUGAAGUAUCUUAGUAGCUUCAGGAAAAUAAAUCAAACGAGAUUCUAUUAGUAGUGUGAAUGAAAAUAGAUAAAGGCUUAAAGUAAAAUGGAUUCAUCUGUUUGAAUAUAGGGGAACCUUCCUCUAAGCCUUAAUAUAAUAUACAAGUAAUAGAGAAUAGUACUGUGAAGGAAAAUUUGUAAGUAGUAGUCUUAUAAGCAGCUCGAGAUAAGUUUAAUAAACAUAUAAGAGCGUACCUUUUGUAUAAUGGGUCAGCAAGUUCUAGUUAGAUGCAAGCAACUACCUAUUGUUCUAAAAAACAAGAGAUUUGCCUAGAUAAUCCAAUUAUUAAGUAAUGAAUUAGUAUCUAAUUAGAGACCCGAAGAGUAGUGAUCUUACCAUGGUCAGGCUUAUAAAAGGCCGAAUGGGUUAUCGUUGUAAAGAUAUCCAAAGAACUGUGGUAAGUUAGUGAAAGACAAUCCUGACUACUAUAGCUGGUUUUCCGCGAAACAUAUGUAAGUAUGUAGUUUAAGUUACAUCAUAGCAGGUACAGAACUGUGAUCUCGGACAAUUUGUGCAUUUUCAUUCCUAAAGGGUAAUAGUAUCCUCUAGAGAGUGGUAAUGCCUUGUGCAUAUGGGGGGGUCGUGAAGACUCUAUUCGCGAGUAUUUGCUCUCGGAAGGGCAAUGAUGAAUCUUGAACUAUCAGACAUUUAACGAUAAGGUUGUGUGUCAAAAGGGAAACAGCCCAGAACAAGUGUUUAAGGUUCCAAAGUUUUUGUUAAGUGAAAGUAAGGAAGUAUUUAAACGAUACAACCAGGAAAUAGGCUUAGAAGCGGCCAUUUUUUAAAGACCUCGUAACAGAGCACUGGUUCAAAAGGUUAGUUAAAUAACCUAUUUAGUUAAAAGCGCCGAAGAUAUAACGGAUCUAAACAAAACACCGACACCUUGUCCAUAAAAAAAAAUAGGUUACAUUUGAUCUAUGAAGUUUCGCUAUAUUUACAAAACCGUUACGUGAGUGAUAUAGGUCACGAUUAAGAACAAAAGGUAAUUCUAUGUAAUAUACGUAAACACUAGUUACGUAUUAUUUAUGGGGUAGCGGAACAUUGGGUAAAUAGGAUUAGAAACAAAGGAAAUAGAAAAAAAGGUAUUUGUACUGGGGGGUGAUAAUACCAUUAGCUGUGAAAAGCUAAAAGAUCCAUUAACCCUUUGCAACUACGGGAAAAAAAUAAAGUUCAACUGUAGUUGCUCCACAAAGCACUACCAUUAGUAAAUAAUAGGUAGGAAAAGGGAAGUACAUAUGUUUCAAAAUAACUACAAUGUAGUUUGAUCGCUAACUAGCGAUAGUCCAGUAUAUCCCAAGCGAGAAUGCUGACACGAGUAACGAAAAAGAGGAUGCCGAAUAGGACCUCUCGCCUUAAGCUUAUGGAAAAGUGAUUCGGUCUCUAAAUUUAACCUAAAGGAUAAAAUGAUGAGAAGAUUAGAUGUGACAACAUAAAUAAACAGAGUAAAAUGUUCUGGAAAAGCAUUAAAUCGUAAAAAAAAACGGAUAAUAACCGAAAAAAUAAAAUAUAAAGGAUAAAAAGAACUAAUAAGAAUGAAUGUUCCUUUAUCUAAAGAUAGACUAGAUAAGAAAAAACCGUACCUAAAAACUACCACAAGUAAGCUAGUAGAGAAUACGAAGGCGUUUGAGCUAACAAUCAUUAAGGAACUCGGCAAAUUGACACCGUAACUGAGGGAAAAGGUGUGCCAUUCCUACUGAUUAAUAUCAGUUUAGGAAGAGGAGACAUAAAAUGGUGUUGCACGACUGUUUAAUUAAAACACAGCACUUUGCGUAAGAUGUAAAUCAAUGUAUAGAGUGCGCUAUCUGCCCAAUGAUGGCUGGUUAACGGAUUUACUUAGGCGACUAAAAUAGUUUAGGUUUUGAAGGAACCCCCAUUGAAUGGCGGCCUUAUCUAUAAGGGUCCUAAGGUAGCGAAAUACCUUGGCAUUUAAAUGAUGUCGCGCAUGAAUGAUCUAACGAUGCAACAGCUGUCUCAAUGAUUGGCUCAGUGAAACUGGAAUGGCAGUGAAGAUACUGCCUAUCUCUAGAUAGACGAGAAGACCCCAUGCAGCUUUACUGUUACUAGUUAUAGGGUAUAAUGUAACAGGUUUUAGAGAAUAAGGUAGUCGCAACGACAAAAUUGAAACACCUUUACUCUGGUUGUUAUAUCAGUAGAAUAGGUUACACAUUUGUAACUGACGUCUGAAUGUAAUCCAUAAAAGGAGAAAAAUCUAUAGAUUUAGCUCAGGAGACAAUGGCUAGCAGAUGGUUUAUGCGGGGCACAGAUCCCAUAAAGAGUACCUGGGAGUAUCCAAAUUUAUUUUUGUAAUAUGCUAUACGCAAAUUAUAUAAAGCUUUUAUCUAGUAAUUGCUUUAUGUGGUUUAAUUUUUGUAAUUACUUUAUGUAGUUUGUUAUUUUUUAUAUUUACUUUAUUAAGGUUAUAUUUACAAAACCGUUAUGUGAGUGGUAUAGGUUAAUAAAAGUAUCUAUAACGAAUUCAGUUAUAUUUCUAUUUAAGUUAGAACUAAACAAUUUAAUAUAAGUAAGAUUUUACCUAUGUGGAAAAUAGGUGUAUAGAUAACGGUAAAUAGUACUGUUAUUUGUUAUUUUUUUAGAAAAAUGAUAUUGAUAUAUACUUCCAAAGUUUAAUGGCUUAAUCUUGCUUUACUGUUUGACAUACACGUCUAUCAGUUGCGUAAGCAGGGCAUAAAGACCGCAAGACGCAGUAAGGAAAGGUCUUGUAUUAUUGAAAAAGCUACGCUGGGGAUAACAGGCUAAUUGCGCAAGAGAGUACAAAUUGAGUGCGCAGUUUGGCACCUCGAUGUCGGCUUAGCUCAUCCACAUGAAUGCAGAAAUCAUGAAGGGUACGACUGUUCGUCGAUUAAAGAGCUACACGAGCUGGGUUAAAUACGUCGUGAGACAGUAUGGUUUCUAUCUUCUAGAGGAAAUUAGAGUAAAAUAAGGAUAGCCCCUUCGUACGAAAGGAGUUGGGUAUGGUAACCUAUGGUUUACCUGUUGUUUAUACGCUUAAUAUUAACCUGAUAAAAUUACGGUGAGAAUAGGUGCUUUUUACGAAAAAGAGUAAUAAAAAUAAGAUUUUCUUAUUUCCUAUUGGAACGAAAAAGGGUAAUACUUUUAUACUCAAGUAUUUAUGAAUAGUAUAGGCACGGCAGGAAAGCUAUGUUAGUUAAGAUAAGUGCUGAAUGCAUUUAGGCACGAAGCUUACCUUAGGAUACUCUUAAAAACGUAGUAUAACAUUACGAAUCCACAUCUCGCUAUUAUUAGGGCUAGAGAUUUAGUUUAACAACUAAGACUCGUCUAAAAUAGCAGAGGGGAUAAUAGGC